UAACUAGGAUUAGAUACCCUAUUAUUAAGAAAAAUUAUAUUGUUAGUAUAUAAAUUGUAUGAAAACAAAAAAUUAUGGCGGUAUUUUAAGCUUUUCAGAGGAAUUUGCUCUUUAAUGGAUAAAACACCUAAAUCUUACUAAAUUUAGUUAAACAGUUUGUAUACCACUAUUUAAGUAAUAAUUUGCUAUUAUUACUAAAAUUUAUAUUAAUUAAAAAAAGUUAAGUCAAGGUGCAGCAUAAAUUUUAGUAUGAAGUGAAUUACAUUUCUUUUAAGAAAAAUUUGUUGAAAAUAAAAUUUAGGAUU
RNAcentral lists this ribosomal RNA (305 nucleotides) under Haemaphysalis longicornis (longhorned tick). RNAcentral's name for it is "12S ribosomal RNA". The record is from RNAcentral. Lineage: Eukaryota; Metazoa; Arthropoda; Arachnida; Ixodida; Ixodidae.